AAGAUGGGACUGCAGAUGAAAAGGGAAAUUAACUUGAGGUUGAAGAGGACCUUCAUGGAGACACCCAGGGACCUUCAAAACUCACGACCUUCCUGCUCAAGGCAUAAAGCCCACUUCCCUCUGGUCUCUGCAGGUUGGGAACCUGUGCCUCCUCGAAGACCAAGGAACCACUCUAGCAACAGCUUCCUUGACUGGCCUCCAUCCACUGCUCCAGGGACUGACCCAAGGUAUCUUCAGGAUCCUACAGAGGAGGCUUUGGAAAGCUUACCAGUUUCCUAACUACUCUUCAAGGAUUACAUCUCUCAGGAAGAGCUCAUCUCCCACUGAAGCUCCUGGCCCAGGCUUCUGCAGUGCCAUGCUCCGUGUAUUUGACAAGCUGAGUUGGACACUCCAUGUGGUAGAGUGUCAGUUUGUCAAAUACCCCAAGUGUGGCACAUGCUUAACAUCGUAGGCCAGGACAGCUGAGAUACAACAAUAGACUGCCAGCUGGACACAAGAAUGCUCAGCAAAGCUCUUACAAGUUAUUUUCAGUCACUUGGAAGGAUCUGAAGCACUGUAUCUGAGGGUGCCAGGGGAAAAAUGAGGCAGAUCUGGGAACUACAGCCUUGGGCUGUAUCUAUAUACAGUAUGGGAACCUGAGGGGGCACAGCAGUCUUGAGAAGGUAUACAGGGAACAGUGAUGGAAGUGCUCCUUGAUUCAUUAUUUUCUUUCUUCAUGUUCCCCUUUUAGAGUGUCCCAGCAAGGACACUAGAGUUCUCAUACAAGUAUCAUGGUGGGGCUUAGAAACACCUUCUCUGACAUUCAGCCUUGGCUUUCAAACACACUGAACUUACCUGUCUCUCUCCUUUUCUUCAUGCCUUUUCUUCUUCUGGGAACCAUCUUCUCCAUUUCUCUCCACUUGCCCCAUUCUUUCUCAUUCUUCCUGACUCAGCUAAAGUCUCCCCAGGGAUUUUUAAAAGUCAACAUGUACUCUUUCCUUUUUUCAUUCUCAAAGCUCUCCUUGCUUGGGUCCUUGUAUUUUCCCUUUUAUCGUGGCUCAAUGGCACUUCUUGAAUUGUUGGUGAACUUUUCCAGGGGAUAUUUUUGAAUCCCCCACUAGAUUGCAAGCUUCUAGACAACAAGACUGUUUCCUUGAUUAUUGUUUCCCCAUUCCAUUCCCACUCUAGCCCUUAUCUCAAUACUGUGGUUAUAGAAAUUACUCAAUAAAUGUUUACUGAUUGA
Molecule: long non-coding RNA, 1222 nt
Organism: Manis pentadactyla (Chinese pangolin)
Lineage: Eukaryota; Metazoa; Chordata; Mammalia; Pholidota; Manidae
Exons: 4
Source: RefSeq, a predicted model, not a curated record